UUGAACGUUCGGGUUCCGCGGGACGGGGCGCCCCGCGGAGGGACGGGCGCCGCCCCGGGGCUCGUGAUAUCUUAUCUCGCCGCCCGUCGCGAGGCGGACGGAGGGAUGGAUGAGGUUACCUGGAAAAAAUCGGGGGCGAUCUAGGCGGGGCGAACCUCGCCAACGAACGAUCGGACAUGGGAUAACGGAAGAGGGCGUCGGCUCGACUUCGUCGGUUCCUCGGGCCGAGGCACGUACGGUGAAUAGGGACGGUCGGGGCCGCCCGUACCGGGUCGUGAGAGGUGAAAUUCUAGGAUCGACCGAGACGAACUGCCGCGAAAGCAUUCGGCAAGGACGCUUUCAUUAAUCAAGAACGAAAGUCGGGGGGAUCGAAGACGAUCAGAUACCGUCGUAGUCCCGACCGUAAACGAUGCC
This 414-nucleotide ribosomal RNA is filed under the name uncultured eukaryote. RNAcentral's name for it is "bacterial SSU rRNA". It matches the Rfam family "Eukaryotic small subunit ribosomal RNA", at positions 721 to 1043 of the family's 1831-position model. The record is from RNAcentral.